RNAcentral lists this ribosomal RNA (482 nucleotides) under uncultured bacterium. Its description in RNAcentral is "partial 16S ribosomal RNA". It matches the Rfam family "Bacterial small subunit ribosomal RNA", at positions 30 to 507 of the family's 1533-position model. The record is from RNAcentral.
AUUGAACGCUGGCGGCAUGCUUUACACAUGCAAGUCGAACGGUAACAGGCCGCAAGGUGCUGACGAGUGGCGAACGGGUGAGUAAUGCAUCGGAACGUGCCCAGUCGUGGGGGAUAACUACUCGAAAGAGUAGCUAAUACCGCAUACGAUCUAUGGAUGAAAGCGGGGGACCGUAAGGCCUCGCGCGAUUGGAGCGGCCGAUGUCAGAUUAGGUAGUUGGUGGGGUAAAGGCUCACCAAGCCAACGAUCGGUAGCUGGUCUGAGAGGACGACCAGCCACACUGGGACUGAGACACGGCCCAGACUCCUACGGGAGGCAGCAGUGGGGAAUUUUGGACAAUGGGCGCAAGCCUGAUCCAGCAAUGCCGCGUGCAGGAAGAAGGCCUUCGGGUUGUAAACUGCUUUUGUACGGAACGAAACGGCUCUGGUUAAUACCCGGGGCUAAUGACGGUACCGUAAGAAUAAGCACCGGCUAACUACGUG